UACGUAGGGUGCGAGCGUUGUCCGGAAUUACUGGGCGUAAAGAGCUCGUAGGUGGUUUGUCGCGUUGUCCGUGAAAACUCACAGCUCAACUGUGGGCGUGCGGGCGAUACGGGCAGACUGGAGUACUGCAGGGGAGACUGGAAUUCCUGGUGUAGCGGUGGAAUGCGUAGAUAUCGGAAGGAACACCAGUGGCGAAAGCGGCUUCCUGGUCCGACACCGACGUUCAGGCACGAAAGCGUGGGGAGUAAACAGG
RNAcentral lists this ribosomal RNA (253 nucleotides) under uncultured bacterium. Its description in RNAcentral is "partial 16S ribosomal RNA". It matches the Rfam family "Bacterial small subunit ribosomal RNA", at positions 524 to 776 of the family's 1533-position model. The record is from RNAcentral.